UCACAGUAACACCCGUUCCCAUAUGAUCACCAAAGUUAAGCAAUGUUGAGCCUGGUCAGUACCUAGAUGGGUGACUGGCUGGGGAUACCAGAUACAG
Molecule: non-coding RNA, 97 nt
Organism: Acanthosepion pharaonis
Lineage: Eukaryota; Metazoa; Mollusca; Cephalopoda; Sepiida; Sepiidae
Source: the annotation of a GenBank genome assembly